Molecule: long non-coding RNA, 963 nt
Organism: Cygnus atratus (black swan)
Lineage: Eukaryota; Metazoa; Chordata; Aves; Anseriformes; Anatidae
Exons: 2
Source: RefSeq, a predicted model, not a curated record
UUGUAAGGAAAGCAUGAGUCCCGUUCAUGCUUACGUUCAGUGCAGCAUUGGGCCAUUGUGGCGUCAAAGAGGAGAGGGUGCAGUUUACGGGGAACCCGAGUGCCUCUUUGCACGGAUAAAUUUGGAGUUGGUGGCUCAGGGCUGGGCUUCCAUCACCGCGAAGAUACAGCUAUAGGGCUGGGACCAUGCAGGCAAUGGCAGGUGAUGGUUGCCCAACAGCAUCCCACACCUCGAUCCCAGCUGAGAAGAACCACGGCUGGGACCAGCACCACUCCUCGGUUCCCUGUUCCCUCCCCAAGGGCUCACCUCUCCAUCCAGUUGAUGGAAACCACAAGCCACCAAGAAGUGAGGUCUAAGUGUCCCAGGCUGUUGUCGCAUGCUUUUAAACCUGAGACCUGCGGGGACUUUUAGGAUGUUUGUGAAAAACAACCAAGCGUGUAUGGUCAAUAGGUUGAAAUUCAGAAUAGGAAGGUCCAUGACUACGCUGAAAGAUGUCCAAGGACCAGCCAACUGAAAAUCCAUCGUGAGAUGGCAAGGAUUUCUGAGUUCUCUGAACCAGGAAUGAAAAUGAUCAGGAGAUGAAAGAUAUCUUGAUGAAAGAUGAGGAUCUGCUCUUGAUGGACAUCUCAAGGAGGUCUGUCUUCAGCUGUGGGAGCCAGGCUGAGUUUCCAUAUCUCUUGCUGGAGCUCUGCACAGCCCCAGCUAACCUUUCAGAUCUCCUAAUGACUUAACCAAUUUCCGGAGCUGAAUCUGCAGGAAGCAGACUGCACAGGUUGCUGGAAUGCAGAGGUUAAAUAACCAGAUUUUCUUAUCAGGCUUUUCUCAAAUUUUGUUCUGCAUGUAGAGAAAAUAUUUCAAUUUAUCUAAUUCCUACCAGAAGUUUUCAAUUUAUGUAUUUUGUUUAAUCAUUUCCAUGCCAUGGAGACCUAGCUGGAAAAAAGAAAAGUCUAAGAUGGUCCAAAA